Long non-coding RNA from Ictalurus punctatus (channel catfish), 1929 nucleotides. NCBI's taxonomy places the organism in Eukaryota, Metazoa, Chordata, Actinopteri, Siluriformes, Ictaluridae. The record is from Ensembl.
UAUAUGUUUUAAUGCAUCAGACACCAACAUAAUGCUACGACCCUACAGAACAUUACCUCUGGUCUUUUGUUCAAGGUGAACACAUCAUUUCACCAUGGAGCUUCUCACAGUUCAGUCACUUUCUGUAAAUCUAAUCCCGGAAAAUUUACUCACAAUUUAGGAAACAUUAGAAGCAUUUUUCAGUAAGUGAACACAUCAUUUCACCAUGGAGCUUCUCACAGUUCAGUCACUUUCUGUAAAUCUAAUCCCGGAAAAUUUACUCACAAUUUAGGAAACAUUAGAAGCAUUUUUCAGUAAGUGAACACAGGCUUUCAGUUAAGAACAACACGGUAAUGUUAAGCAUUUUAAAUGUUAAUAAUUUCUUUAUUCAAGAACCCACUUUGAUUACUAAGCAGGCAAUUAAGAAUAUUAUUUAAAUGCAAGUGAUUAGUCAAUACUGGAAAAUAAGAAACAGAACAGAGCGAUCAAUAAAGAAAAACAUUUGGGGAUAACGAAUGUUUAGUUUGAGUUGUGGGUGACACCUUUUCAUAUGAAGUAGUAUUAAGAAAUAAAUAUCUACAUUGAACAUUUUUAUAAGAAAUUCUUGUGCACUCCCUCUUUUUUAAGAAAAGGAUCUAAAUAUUCCAUACAAUGAUUGAAUUUGCAUCUAAUUAUUUAUCCAACUAUUCCUUUGCUGAUGUUUCUAAUUGGUUAACAGAAACAUAAUAAGGAGUUUACUAGUUGGAGUGCAGCAAAUAUGCGUUUAUGUCCUACAUGCAGUACUUGAUAUCACUGUGAGGGCUUUGAUUCUGCCUCGACACUGGAUCACGAGUGGACACAGUAGGAGCUGAGGAGAAUAAAAAGAACCAUAAAGACAUCUGAAGCUGCAGAACAGUUCAGACCAAGACAUGGAUGUAACCUUUGACUUAAGGUGCCAAGCAGACAAACAAAUCUAUUGUUAAUUAAUGUUACUUCAUACACUUAAAUACACAUUACUAUUUAUUCUAACAGGGUGGGAUUAAUUCAUCUGCUGCUUGCCAGCUUAAUUCUGAUCAUAUAUAGAGCCAUAUUUUGUUUACAAAUAACAGCACAAGGUUAUUUAAUCUAUAAGUCUAUAGUGUUUGACAUCAACUACUUAAAGUAUCUGGCAUAAUACUUGCACAGUGCUGCUAUUUGGUUAACAGAAACUUAGUAAGUAAUAUCCUAUUUGGAGAGUACAGAAUUGGUGUUUAUUUCCUCUACCUGCAGUAGCUGUUGUCAUUGUGGAGGCAUCGGAUUGCUCUGUAGCUUCAGGACUUUUAUUCUGUCUCGAUACUAGAGCAGGAGUAGACACAGUAGGAACAACUUAGGAUCGAUAUGAAACCAUAAGAAACAUGUAUUAUAGUUCAGACCAAGUCAUGAAUUGAUUCAACUUUCAACUUAAUGCCUCAAGCAGAAUGUUGUAAAAUUACUUAUAUAAUAUAAUAUAAUAUAUACACAUUACUGUAUUAAUUGACUUGCUGCUUGCCACAUCAUCUUAAAUUUGAUUAUAACUAUUCACAUCUUAUUUGUGACUAAGAUCAACAAUACCUAAGUCAUGUAUACCUUCACCGACAGUAAGCUUUACUAUAGUUAACUUGUCUUUGCCCCAUGUAUCCACUCCACAGUAAUAAACUCCAGAGUCAUUUAAUGUGAGGUGUCUGAUGGUGACAGAGAAGCGACGUGCAGACAGAGUGUUUACUGCAGAGUAUCUUUCCUUAGAGACGACCGUAUCAGCCUUCACAGAUUUAAUUAGUACAUCAAAAGGAGAGCAUGGAUCACGACAGAAGUACAUGGGUGUAUAUUGAUAUCCAGCAGGGUAUUUACAGGAGAUAUCCACACUGCCUCCUUCUGUUCCAAUAAAAACACUUUCAGCCUUGACCUUCAUUGUCACACAUAUCAGAACUAAAAACACAGAUAAACAUUGUAAAU